RNAcentral lists this small nuclear RNA (107 nucleotides) under Chinchilla lanigera (long-tailed chinchilla). Lineage: Eukaryota; Metazoa; Chordata; Mammalia; Rodentia; Chinchillidae. The record is from RNAcentral.
GUGCUCACUUCAGCAGCACAUACACUAAAAUUGGAAGGACAAAGAGAAGAUUAACAUGGCCCCUGUGCAAGCAUGACACGCAAAUUCUCAAAGUGUUCCAUAUUUUU